Long non-coding RNA from Prosopis cineraria, 3401 nucleotides. RefSeq lists it as uncharacterized. The transcript has 2 exons. The record is from RefSeq and is a predicted model, not a curated record. NCBI's taxonomy places the organism in Eukaryota, Viridiplantae, Streptophyta, Magnoliopsida, Fabales, Fabaceae.
GCCAUAGCUCGUAUAUAUAUUGUCCCCCCUCAAUUUAUUUAACGCUUCUACUAUAUUUGUACUUGUAUCUUUAGAGCAUCAUUGCCUGUUUGCUUCUGCAGAAUAGCUCUCCCUGCCCGUACAAAUAAUGAAAUUUAUUGUUAUUCGGAUUCUCCCUAGCCCCAUAAGGCUCAGGCGGAGAUUUUCAUAAAAAGCAUGCCAGAAUUAGGGUUUCUGGCAGAUUGACUAUAUAUUGAGGUUCUGUUCUCGGACAUGUUCAACUUUCAAAAGCAUAUCCUUUUCUUGCGUCUCUAAUUACGAAGCUCCGGCUUGCAUAGCCUGAAGAAUACGGGAGAUCUAUGUUUUCUUCUCUUUCACAAAUUCUUGAUCAAUUAGUUUGGUAACCAAGGUAAGCCUGUCCGAUGUUCUAGCUAUACCAUUAGUCCAUCAUUAUUAUAUAUUCUUAAUCUUCUAAUUCAUGGGUCCGGUGGUUCGCAAAAGUAGGGUGAUUCCUUUACUAAGUCGAAGUGUUAUGAGCUUUUAAUUUAAUCUAUUUGUUUCCUGCGGCACCGAUGUUUAUGAAAGGGUUUUUAAGAAUGGCAUAUAUAGUUUGACUAUUUUGUGAUGCCAUGAACUAACUUUGAUAUGCUCUCGUCAGUUAGCUUGUUGGUCAUUACGAUCGAUAUGUGUUUUUGCUGAUAUAUGGCCCUCCUGCCUUUCUUUCUUCUUGGUGCCCCUAGCUAGCUUGACUUUCUAUUUCUUUUUUUUCAGGCUUGCUUUUAUUUAGACCUUCUUCAAGUGUUCUUUUAUAGUAUUUUCAUGCUUCUAUGCGGGCAAUUCUUGCAAAUCUUACUUUGACAAGCUAAUUCUUUCUUCUGCUGGAGGAAUUCCUUCAUCAGGCCAGCUAACUAGCUAGUAAUUUAGAAUAAUUCAUGUUCAUACCAUGCAGCUGGAGAUCAUAAUUAAAAUCUUUAGCUUGCUGUGACAAAAGAGUUCUCUAUGGCCUGCUGCUGUUUCUUGUAAUUAACCUUUCAUCUUAUUUCCCUAUAUAAAAUCCUUUCUCAAACGUUCCUACUUUUCUCUUUUGAAGUUAAUUAAUACUCAGCUAAUAAUUCCUUCAUACAUAUAAGAGAGCAAAUGGGCCUUUGUUUGAGCCUUUUCAUCAAUUGAUUUAGCUAUGUUGUUUUAUCAUCUUUUAGAUCAUGCAGCUGAGGUCAUGACAUAAUACUAAGUUCUUAUGCUAACACAGGUUAAGGAUAUAAAAGCAUGUCUGUGAGGAGACAAUAAGAGGGCGAAAAGUAGGAGCUUCCUUCAGCCCACUCAUGGAUGAAGAAUGAAGGGUUGCUGAAGUAACUGCUGAGUCAUUCAUACACAUACUCAGUAGGGAUUAAGCUAGAUCGUUUUGCUACUGUGAUUGUGUGAAUGAAGCAGCAGAUAUUUUGCUUCCCUCUUUCUCUGUGCUUGGACUGAAGGGAGCUCCUUGAUUUCUCUUUCUCUUCUCAUCACCCUCCUUCUUCACUAAAACUUCUCAAGGCACGCACUCUAGUGUCGAUGUUUCAUAAUCUUCAUCUACUUCUUCGGACCUUGUAAGUACGUUAACCACCGUGCCCAAGAUUUAGCAAUUUAUGUUGGCUUAUUAAUAUUUCUAAUAAUUUUAAUUUUCUUAUUAUAAUUCAAUAGAUUUUAUUUUAGUUCUUAUUGUUAAACUUUUCUCGUUGUACUGUUAGAUGGAUGGUCCCCGUAUUUUUAUUGCACAGAAUAUAAAAAUGAAUUAUGCUGUUCGCGGCUUAUAUAUGAAAAUUGUAACCUUUUUUUAUAUAAAUUUUACACUUGCAUACUGACAUUUUUUUAAAUAUUACGUGAACUAAAUUAGAAGUUAAUUGAAAUUAUGAAUAACAAUAAAAUAUGAAAUUGUCAUUUAUAUUGGAAUUUAGAAUACUCUUUGCAAGAGAGUUAUAGCAUGAGGCAAUGGAGAUCCAUUGACAUGUAUGAACAGUUCAAAAGUCGAAGAUGAAGAUGAUUAUAAUUUUGCUUUGUAAAUUGCAACUCAGGAAGCUGGAGACGUACCUAGGUAGGUAGCCAUACUUGGCGCUUUCACCUUUUCUGCUGAUUGAUUGAUCCGCUUUUUCUGGAGCACAUGCAUGUUUAAUUUUGUCCGUGUAAAUGUAUAAUAGACUACUUGUAUCAAAUUCACUUCGCCUUAUCUGCUUUUGGUCCUGCUAAAGCAGUGUUUUAAUUAAGAAAAUAUCUAUCUUGCCGAUCACCAACGUACGGUAUCAUAUAUAUAUAUAUAUAUAUAUGAUCAGGAGUUUUGGACUUUAUUUUCUACUGAAUAUAUUUGUAUUUCAUUCGUUGCAAAUUCAAUAUAUAUGUAUAUAGUUACUGUGGAGUGCGGGGAGAUUUCAGAAGAUAUAUGCACAGCUAUAUUAUAUAUAUUUAAACCCUGAUCAGCAGACAGAAGUUGAAGCUGGUCCUUGUGGAAUCAGAUCGCAGAUCAUAUAUAUAUAUAUAUAUAUAUAUGCUCAGACACACACACACACACACACACAGAGGGGAGCGCACUGAGAACAACUGAUCUUAUUUUCUUUCAUUUUCCAAGGCAUGUUUGUUACUUAAGUGGAAAUAUCCACAUGCACUCUCCUGAGUUCCACAUUCUGAGUUACAGGUUAAUCAGUUAAUAUAGUAUAAUUUUCUAAAAUUUAUUCAAGACUUCCAACAGACACCUCCUCGAGAAGUUGCGCCUGCACAAUUUUCACAGACGUUGAUAAUGGGUUCUUACCCAACAAUGCAUGAUUCUGUCUUCUUUUUCGUGCCACUACCCGCCACAAAAAAUAUAUAUGAAUUCGUGCAAAAUGUGACCUGGAAAUAGGUGGUGCAUAUUGGUACUGACAAAUGAAAUCCGGAUAUGCUCUGGAUAAAGCUCAAGUUCCUAUCUUCUUCAAGUGGAUUCUGAAUUUGUGUCCCCGCGCGUAACUGUGUAUACACAUAGAAAGUCCUCUCAAAAGAAGGGAAAAUUUUAAAAUGGACUCGGAUUUCCAGAUCAGAUUAUGGAUAUGAUAAUUGUUCACUGUUCAUGUAUAGCAAAUAGAGAAUCAAGUUGCAAUUAAACAAUUGGCAUGUCCAUCAGAAGUUAGCAACUAUAUAUAUAUAGAGAGAGAGAGAGUAUAAAUAGCUAGGUUGAAAAUGGAGAGGUGCAGAUCAGACUAAUUUGAGUCAUGUACGUUCCCGGCCGCGCGCGCGCGCACAUCAUCCAUGAAAAAUAGGACAAGCAAUUCUCCAUUUGGUCUCUCGCUCGACAUGUAUUCCAUAUUUUUUAUUGGUUGUAGGAGUUAACACGUUUAUGUUAGUUUAACAAAAUCAGUGUUGUCAAUUUUACCAUCACACGAUGACUCGUGUGCAUAUAUCUAGCAGUUUUUGAAGAA